AUUGAACGCUGGCGGCAGGCUUAACACAUGCAAGUCGAGCGGGGAAAGGUAGCUUGCUCCCUGACCUAGCGGCGGACGGGUGAGUAAUGCUUAGGAAUCUGCCUAUUAGUUGGGGACAACAUCUCGAAAGGGAUGCUAAUACCGCAUACGUCCUACGGUAGAAAGCAGGGGACCUUCGGGCCUUGCGCUAAUAGAUGAGCCUAAGUCGGAUUAGCUAGUUGGUGGGGUAAAGGCCUACCAAGGCGACGAUCUGUAUCGGGUCUGAGAGGAUGAUCCGCCAAACUGGGACUGAGACACGGCCCAGAAUCCUACGGGAGGCAGCAGUGGGGAAUAUUGGACAAUGGGGGGAACCCUGAUCCAGCCAUGCCGCGUGUGUGAAGAAGGCCUUUUGGUUGUAAAGCACUUUAAGCGAGGAGGAGGCUACCGAGAUUAAUACUCUUGGAUAGCGGACGUUACUCGCAGAAUAAGCACCGGCUAACUCUGUG
This 485-nucleotide ribosomal RNA is filed under the name uncultured bacterium. RNAcentral's name for it is "partial 16S ribosomal RNA". It matches the Rfam family "Bacterial small subunit ribosomal RNA", at positions 30 to 507 of the family's 1533-position model. The record is from RNAcentral.